RNAcentral lists this long non-coding RNA (1491 nucleotides) under Salmo salar (Atlantic salmon). RNAcentral's name for it is "lncRNA (ENSSSAG00000100896.1, ENSSSAG00000104934.1)". Lineage: Eukaryota; Metazoa; Chordata; Actinopteri; Salmoniformes; Salmonidae. The record is from RNAcentral.
CAUUUUUUUGCGCCUGCGCAUAAAUCUGAGAAACGUGAGUUUUGUCUUCAUUGUUUAUCUAGACAUAGGAUAGGUUGUGUGAAAAUAUUACUGAUGUUUAACGUUAAAAAUGGACCAAAAGAUUAAUGCUAAACAACAUUUGACAUGUUUGAACGAACAUAAAUAGAUUAUUUACUAGGUUUUUUUAGCUUUUCGGCGUGAUUUUACACUCCCCCCACCACGUUUUGUGGGAGCAUAAUGAACGCUAAGUACUUGGUGUUAUUUGGACAUAAAUUAUGAACUUUGUCAAAAGAAACCACAUUUGUUCCGGACCUGGGAUGCCUUCCGGACCUGGGAUGCCUGCCUUCUGAUGGAGAUAAUCAAAGUUGAUAAAAGAGAUUAUCUUGAUGAAACCAGGAGGGGAUCCUGACGAAACCAGGAGGGGCAGCAGUGCUGAAGGAGUAUGAGUACACAGGGACAAUCUGUGACAAGUUCAAGAAGGCAGAUGGUGAACAUCCUUACAGGGCAUAUGACUGAGUCUAAGGGGAGAAUCCCUCAGCGACAUACCAAGGAGAAGUACGCCCUGGGGAUUUUCACCUUGUUUCCUGCACUUUAAGAUCCGCUCUCCAGGAAAGGAUAUAUACUUCAAAACUUCAGCCUCCUCUUCGGGACAGAAACGGGUGCCAAACUUCUAGAAAAGUGGCAUACAGUGGUUCCUCCUUUUAAAAGUUGCGAGCUUACACCGCGGGACUUAGAGUGGGACAGUGACAUGUCUUCCCUCCUACUCCUAUCACAAAAUUCCGCUGGUAGGAAGAAAACACAGAAGAUCAGUGCAGCUCAGGCCAUUGACCAUCUGGUUGUAUUUCACAAGUGUUGUUGGAGCCUGGAUAACUACCUGGAGACGGAAGGAAGAUGGCAGACAUAUCUACUCGCCCCUGGAACCAGCAAGCAGGCCAUCAGCAACUUAGAGCUAAGUUUAUGAACAAUGUAUAGAUGUUACAUUUGUAGAUCUUUGCAUGAUGCGGUUGGCACAUUGAUUCAGCACCUUAAGCUUUUGCAUGGCUUGUCUGAUAUGUGUGGUAUGUGCUCCAGAUGGAUGUUCUGUCACGGGCAGAUAAAUCACUGGAGGAUGAGUCAGGCGCAGGAGACUGAGUUCCAUUUGAGCAAAAAUGUAUUUAAUGCUGCCAAGGGGCAAAAUCCACACAUAAGGCAGGGUGCACAAAAGUCAAAUGACGAGUGGCAGCUCCACUCUAAAAGUCAGACGGGGCACAGCCCGGCAACCCUAAUGCCUAAAUGAAUACGUAGCAAAAGCAACUACGUUAAAUCAAAGCAACCCCUAUCACACGUAACAUAGAACAAUCCCGCACGAAUCCUAACUAAACACAGACAAACUAAAUACCCCCCCACUAAUGACAAACAAGACACAGGUGCAACCAAAAAACAGACAUGACUAACAGACACUGAAACAUAGAUUGGUGGCAGCUAGUAGGCCGGCGACGACGCCCGCCGAGC